UACGUAGGGUGCGAGCGUUGUCCGGAAUUAUUGGGCGUAAAGAGCUUGUAGGCGGUUUGUCGCGUCUGCUGUGAAAUCUCAAGGCUCAACCUUGAGCUUGCAGUGGGUACGGGCAGACUAGAGUGUGGUAGGGGGGACUGGAAUUCCUGGUGUAGCGGUGAAAUGCGCAGAUAUCAGGAGGAACACCGAUGGCGAAGGCAGGUCUCUGGGCCACUACUGACGCUGAGAAGCGAAAGCAUGGGGAGCGAACAGG
This 253-nucleotide ribosomal RNA is filed under the name uncultured bacterium. RNAcentral describes it as "partial 16S ribosomal RNA". It matches the Rfam family "Bacterial small subunit ribosomal RNA", at positions 524 to 776 of the family's 1533-position model. The record is from RNAcentral.